Aegilops tauschii subsp. strangulata is the source of this 331-nucleotide long non-coding RNA. RefSeq lists it as uncharacterized. The record is from RefSeq and is a predicted model, not a curated record. NCBI's taxonomy places the organism in Eukaryota, Viridiplantae, Streptophyta, Magnoliopsida, Poales, Poaceae.
AUAUUGUCCCUUUGGCUCUUGUUGGAAUGUAUAGUGCAAGAAUGGACGGAAGGUCUGCCAUCGCUUGUUUUCUGGUGAUGCUUGUGUUUUUCAAAAGCACAUCCGCAGACUGUCAGUUGGUUCACAUUAAGCUCGUGUACUGCACCAAAUCAGUAUGCAAGGUUGAAUGCUCGGCUCAGUGGCAGGAUAUGAAGGUCUACGAGCAUUGGUGCAAUCGGUUUUUCGUUGGAACUUGCUACCGCAAGAUUUGCUAUGAUUAAUAGAUCUUAAUGGAUAUGCUAUGCACACUUUCAUGUUAUCAAUAAAUAAUGCAUAACUUUGUGUCCCUGAA